AUUGAACGCUGGCGGAAUGCUUUACACAUGCAAGUCGAACGGUAGAGGGGGCAACCCCUCGAGAGUGGCGAACGGGUGAGUAAUAUAUCGGAACGUGCCCAGUCGUGGGGGAUAACGUAGCGAAAGUUACGCUAAUACCGCAUACGAUCUAAGGAUGAAAGCGGGGGAUCGCAAGACCUCGCGCGAUUGGAGCGACCGAUAUCAGAUUAGGUAGUUGGUGGGGUAAAGGCUCACCAAGCCAACGAUCUGUAGCUGGUCUGAGAGGACGACCAGCCACACUGGAACGGAGACACGGUCCAGACUCCUACGGGAGGCAGCAGUGGGGAAUUUAGGACAAUGGACGCAAGUCUGAUCCAGCCAUUCCGCGUGCAGGAUGAAGGCCCUCGGGUUGUAAACUGCUUUUGUACGGAACGAAAAGGUCUCUCUUAAUACGGGGGACUCAUGACGGUACCGUAAGAAUAAGCACCGGCUAACUACGUGCCAGCCGCCGCCGUAA
This 496-nucleotide ribosomal RNA is filed under the name uncultured bacterium. RNAcentral describes it as "partial 16S ribosomal RNA". It matches the Rfam family "Bacterial small subunit ribosomal RNA", at positions 30 to 523 of the family's 1533-position model. The record is from RNAcentral.